ACACAACCAGAUAAUCAAAUAUCAAGUGGGAUUCAUUUUCUAUCAAAACGCACGAAGAAGAGCACUAAAAUCAAUCAAGAACAGAGUUUAGAAAUGGACCUCAAUGAAUCUGAAAUUUAAAUGAACGGCAGCCUUGAAAUGCAUAAACGCGACGAACCGCGGACGGUAACUCGAAUCGCCACCGUGAAUCUCAUCCGGACUCACACUCGGACAGAAUGUUCAAUCAAACUCGACAUAAAUCUUCUCUCACACUCAAAGACUGAAAAUGACAAAAGAAACAAAUGCAACAACAGAAAUGUUCGGAUAUGACCAGCUCGGAACGGCCCAACUCAAUCAAACUCCAUCGCACAACUCAAUGGCAGCCUUGAAACGCAUAAACGCGGCGAACUGCGGAUGGAAACUCGAAUCGGCACCGUAAAUCUCAUACGGACUCGCACACGGACAGAAUGUUCAAUCAAACUCGACAUAAAUCUGCUCACACUCAAAGACUGAAAAUCACAAAAGAAAAAAAUGCAGCAACAGAAAUGUUCGGAUAUGACCAGAUCGGAACGGCCCAACUCAAUCAAACUCCACCGCACAACUCAAUGGCAGCCUUGAAACGCAUAAACGCGGUGAACCGCUGACAGAAACUCGAAUCGGCACCGUAAAUCUCACCCGGGCUCGCACUCAGACAGAAUGUUCAAUCAAACUCGACAUAAAUCUGCUCUCACGCUCAAAGACUGAAAAUCACAAAAGAAAAAAAUGCAACAACAGAAAUGUUCGGAUAUGACCAGCUCGGAAUGGCCCAACUCAAUCAAACUCCAUCGCACAACUCAAUAGCGAAAAUUUCUUCUAGAUUAGAGAAACUUCGGGCUUACAGUUUUGUCCAAAUGAAGGGCAACAACAUUCAACAACAACAAAAAAAGAGUAUCAACCCCAAAAAAAUCAGCAAAAACGCGAAUCGAAACCCGAACAGCGACUUAAACCAGCUCCAUCUCAACAGCAAAGUUCAGACCCAAAAUUGGACUUUAAAAUCGGGACCGUUGACAGGAAUCGGCUCACUCAAACUCGAUUGAAUUCCAUGUUUUCUUUUUUAAAAUAAUAAUCAGAAGAAGAAGCUAGAAAUUAACAUGACAAUCAGAAGGUUUGAAUUCGAAAUCAAAAUAAGAAAAAGAAUCCCGUCAGUUCCUUCUUCGGGUGUAUGUGCGUGUUUUCCGGCGAGUUGGGUUGGGUCUGGUCACUGGUUGAUUGGAAGAGGAGAGGUGUUCCGGUGAUGGCUGCUUAGGCCUUGAUAAUGGCCGAUGAGGAGUUCCUCUGUUGAAGAAGACGACCUUGGGGAGGGGUUCGUUUUGUGUGAGGGUCUGGUUCAAGGAGUGAAGAAGAAGCUCCAGCUGAAGGGUUCAGAGGUGACGACCGUUUUGUGGUUGUGGAGAUGGGUGGCGGCGGCAGCUGUUGAUCGUUGAAGGAUGCUCUUCAGGCGCUAGGUUUUCGCUAGUCUUUGUUCAAAAAUAAGAAGAUAGGGCAGCCACCGUGGUUGUUCUUGUCUUAAGAUUAAAGGUCUUGGUGUGAAGAUGGCUAGGGUUUUUUUGUAGUCUUGUUCUGUUGUUAAAAGAAGAAGUGGGCUCAAAAUUGAUCCUUUGGGUGGUGGGGUUAAUAUUGGCCUUCAACAUGUGCAAAUUUAGGCCAAAAAGGACUGAAAAUUCUAAUUAAAUACCUAUAAAACUCUACAUUAAUUUUGAAAAAUUAUUUGUAUUAAAAUAAAACUAACAAUUAAAGUUG
Molecule: long non-coding RNA, 1758 nt
Filed under: Nicotiana benthamiana
Lineage: Eukaryota; Viridiplantae; Streptophyta; Magnoliopsida; Solanales; Solanaceae
Description: long non-coding RNA (NBEN_LNC035465)
Source: RNAcentral